Molecule: transfer RNA, 65 nt
Filed under: Melanobaris laticollis
Lineage: Eukaryota; Metazoa; Arthropoda; Insecta; Coleoptera; Curculionidae
Description: tRNA-Arg
Source: RNAcentral
AAGUAAGAAACAAAUAAUUGUAUUUAGUUUCGACCUAAAAUUUUGUCUUUUAAAGUCCUUACUUU